GACGAACGCUGGCGGCGUGCCUAAUACAUGCAAGUUGAGCGCUGAAGGUUGGUACUUGUACCAACUGGAUGAGCAGCGAACGGGUGAGUAACGCGUGGGGAAUCUGCCUUUGAGCGGGGGACAACAUUUGGAAACGAAUGCUAAUACCGCAUAAAAACUUUAAACACAAGUUUUAAGUUUGAAAGAUGCAAUUGCAUCACUCAAAGAUGAUCCCGCGUUGUAUUAGCUAGUUGGUGAGGUAAAGGCUCACCAAGGCGAUGAUACAUAGCCGACCUGAGAGGGUGAUCGGCCACAUUGGGACUGAGACACGGCCCAAACUCCUACGGAAGGCAGCAGUAGGGAAUCUUCGGCAAUGCACGAAAGUCUGACCGAGCAACGCCGCGUGAGUGAAGAAGGUUUUCGGAUCGUAAAACUCUGUUGGUAGAGAAGAACGUUGGUGAGAGUGGAAAGCUCAUCAAGUGACGGUAACUACCCAGAAAGGGACGGCUAACUACGUG
This 497-nucleotide ribosomal RNA is filed under the name uncultured bacterium. RNAcentral describes it as "partial 16S ribosomal RNA". It matches the Rfam family "Bacterial small subunit ribosomal RNA", at positions 28 to 507 of the family's 1533-position model. The record is from RNAcentral.